Molecule: ribosomal RNA, 168 nt
Filed under: Helianthemum oelandicum subsp. pourretii
Lineage: Eukaryota; Viridiplantae; Streptophyta; Magnoliopsida; Malvales; Cistaceae
Description: 5.8S ribosomal RNA
Source: RNAcentral
ACCAUCGAGUCUUUGAACGCAAGUUGCGCCCCAAGCCGCCAGGCCGAGGGCACGCCUGCCUGGGCGUCACGCAACGUCGCCCCCACCACCCCUCGUGGAUGGACGGGAGCGGAUAUUGGCCUCCCGCGUGCAUUGCUCGCGGCUGGCCUAAAAUCGAGUCCCCUGCGC